This 233-nucleotide transfer RNA is filed under the name Metarhizium anisopliae. RNAcentral describes it as "tRNA-Lys". Lineage: Eukaryota; Fungi; Ascomycota; Sordariomycetes; Hypocreales; Clavicipitaceae. The record is from RNAcentral.
GCUUAUAUAUUAUAUUCUAAAAUAUUAGUUUCUUAGAUAAAUUAUAUUAUAAGUUUAUAGCUUUAUUAUAAAAAGAUUAUCUUAGCUUAACUUUAAUAAUAAAAGGUUAUAAAGGUUCUAAGUUUAAACUAAAAUACUUUAAGGCUUAUUAUUAUUUUUUAUUUUAUUUCUAUUAUAUAUAAUAUUACUUUUUAAUUAACUAAAAGUUAUAAAUAAAACCUUUAUUAUAGGCU